CCUAGGGUGAGGGACAACCCGGGGAAACCUGGGCUAAUACCGCAUGAUGUCUCGUCAAUCACAUGUUGAUGAGAUCAAAGAGGGCCUCUGCUUGCAUGCUCUCGCCCAAGGAGGGGGUCGCGACGUAUCAGUUUGUUGGUGGGGUAAUGGCCUACCAAGACUACGACGCGUAGCGGAUCUGAGAGGAUGAUCCGUCACAUUGGGACUGAGAUACGGCCCAG
This 221-nucleotide ribosomal RNA is filed under the name uncultured bacterium. RNAcentral's name for it is "partial 16S ribosomal RNA". It matches the Rfam family "Bacterial small subunit ribosomal RNA", at positions 130 to 334 of the family's 1533-position model. The record is from RNAcentral.